RNAcentral lists this microRNA (22 nucleotides) under Gallus gallus (chicken). RNAcentral describes it as "gga-miR-6570-3p". The record is from miRBase by way of RNAcentral. Lineage: Eukaryota; Metazoa; Chordata; Aves; Galliformes; Phasianidae.
AGAGGAGAGCCUGUGGGCCAGA